RNAcentral lists this long non-coding RNA (321 nucleotides) under Homo sapiens (human). Its description in RNAcentral is "non-protein coding lnc-MAP1LC3C-5:1". Lineage: Eukaryota; Metazoa; Chordata; Mammalia; Primates; Hominidae. The record is from RNAcentral.
GCACGUGUCUAUAUGCCUGUAGUCCCAGCUACUCAGGAGGCUAAGGUGGGAGGAUUACUUGAACUCAGGAGGACGAGACUGCAAUUAGCCAUGAUUGUGCCACCACACUCCAGCCUGGGCAACAGAGUGAGACCCUGUCUCCAAAAAAAAAAAAGAAAAAAUAAAAAAGAAUUCAGUGGAAAGAAACCUCAGGUUUGCAUGAGAAACUACUGAUUAGGCAUUCACACAGUUGUAAUUGUCAGAUGAAGAAGGUAAUAUACAAGGCUGCAUCUGAACCAUCCCACAGGUUGAGAUUUCAUUGAUUUUCUCCUGAGACUUGGG